CCGAGUUUCUAAAGACUCCAAACCCUUGGCAACAGUACCGUCAGAGUUGCUUCGGGGGCCUGGCCCUCCCUGGGGGCUGCCUACACAGGGGUGCACCGACAGGUAUUCAAAAUCUCUGUCAUUGUAGUCUGAUCUACUGAGAAAAAAAGCAAAUAAGUCA
This 160-nucleotide unclassified non-coding RNA is filed under the name soil metagenome. RNAcentral's name for it is "partial internal transcribed spacer 1". The record is from RNAcentral.